CCGUGAAAAAAUUAGAGUGUUCAAAGCGGGCAGAUAUUUUUCCUGCCACCGAAUACAUUAGCAUGGGAUAAUGGAAUAGGACCCUGACCUCCUAUUUUCAGUUGGUUUUGUUUACAGCGAGGUUAUAUCAGGGUAAUGAUUAAUAGGGAUAGUUGGGGGCAUUAAUAUUUAAUUGUCAGAGGUGAAAUUCUUGGAUUUAUGAAAGAUUAACUUCUGCGAAAGCGUUUGCCAAGGAUGUUUUCAUUAAUCAAGAACGAAAGUUAGGGGAUCGAAGACGAUCAGAUACCGUCGUAGUCUUAACCAUAAACGAUGCCGACCAGCGAUUAGGAGACGUUGAAUACAAAACACCGCCGUUAAUCCUUUCGGGGGUUAAUGGUUGGUGAAUGACUCC
Molecule: ribosomal RNA, 391 nt
Filed under: Acanthamoeba lenticulata
Lineage: Eukaryota; Discosea; Longamoebia; Acanthamoebidae
Description: SSU rRNA
Rfam family: Eukaryotic small subunit ribosomal RNA
Source: RNAcentral